This 1552-nucleotide ribosomal RNA is filed under the name Enterobacter hormaechei. Its description in RNAcentral is "bacterial SSU rRNA". It matches the Rfam family "Bacterial small subunit ribosomal RNA". The record is from RNAcentral. Lineage: Bacteria; Pseudomonadati; Pseudomonadota; Gammaproteobacteria; Enterobacterales; Enterobacteriaceae.
AAAUUGAAGAGUUUGAUCAUGGCUCAGAUUGAACGCUGGCGGCAGGCCUAACACAUGCAAGUCGAACGGUAACAGGAAGCAGCUUGCUGCUUUGCUGACGAGUGGCGGACGGGUGAGUAAUGUCUGGGAAACUGCCUGAUGGAGGGGGAUAACUACUGGAAACGGUAGCUAAUACCGCAUAACGUCGCAAGACCAAAGAGGGGGACCUUCGGGCCUCUUGCCAUCGGAUGUGCCCAGAUGGGAUUAGCUAGUAGGUGGGGUAACGGCUCACCUAGGCGACGAUCCCUAGCUGGUCUGAGAGGAUGACCAGCCACACUGGAACUGAGACACGGUCCAGACUCCUACGGGAGGCAGCAGUGGGGAAUAUUGCACAAUGGGCGCAAGCCUGAUGCAGCCAUGCCGCGUGUAUGAAGAAGGCCUUCGGGUUGUAAAGUACUUUCAGCGGGGAGGAAGGCGAUAAGGUUAAUAACCUUGCCGAUUGACGUUACCCGCAGAAGAAGCACCGGCUAACUCCGUGCCAGCAGCCGCGGUAAUACGGAGGGUGCAAGCGUUAAUCGGAAUUACUGGGCGUAAAGCGCACGCAGGCGGUCUGUCAAGUCGGAUGUGAAAUCCCCGGGCUCAACCUGGGAACUGCAUUCGAAACUGGCAGGCUAGAGUCUUGUAGAGGGGGGUAGAAUUCCAGGUGUAGCGGUGAAAUGCGUAGAGAUCUGGAGGAAUACCGGUGGCGAAGGCGGCCCCCUGGACAAAGACUGACGCUCAGGUGCGAAAGCGUGGGGAGCAAACAGGAUUAGAUACCCUGGUAGUCCACGCCGUAAACGAUGUCGACUUGGAGGUUGUGCCCUUGAGGCGUGGCUUCCGGAGCUAACGCGUUAAGUCGACCGCCUGGGGAGUACGGCCGCAAGGUUAAAACUCAAAUGAAUUGACGGGGGCCCGCACAAGCGGUGGAGCAUGUGGUUUAAUUCGAUGCAACGCGAAGAACCUUACCUACUCUUGACAUCCAGAGAACUUAGCAGAGAUGCUUUGGUGCCUUCGGGAACUCUGAGACAGGUGCUGCAUGGCUGUCGUCAGCUCGUGUUGUGAAAUGUUGGGUUAAGUCCCGCAACGAGCGCAACCCUUAUCCUUUGUUGCCAGCGGUUAGGCCGGGAACUCAAAGGAGACUGCCAGUGAUAAACUGGAGGAAGGUGGGGAUGACGUCAAGUCAUCAUGGCCCUUACGAGUAGGGCUACACACGUGCUACAAUGGCGCAUACAAAGAGAAGCGACCUCGCGAGAGCAAGCGGACCUCAUAAAGUGCGUCGUAGUCCGGAUUGGAGUCUGCAACUCGACUCCAUGAAGUCGGAAUCGCUAGUAAUCGUGGAUCAGAAUGCCACGGUGAAUACGUUCCCGGGCCUUGUACACACCGCCCGUCACACCAUGGGAGUGGGUUGCAAAAGAAGUAGGUAGCUUAACCUUCGGGAGGGCGCUUACCACUUUGUGAUUCAUGACUGGGGUGAAGUCGUAACAAGGUAACCGUAGGGGAACCUGCGGUUGGAUCACCUCCUUACCUUAAAGAA